RNAcentral lists this ribosomal RNA (759 nucleotides) under Parahaemophilus parainfluenzae. Its description in RNAcentral is "Haemophilus parainfluenzae bacterial SSU rRNA". It matches the Rfam family "Bacterial small subunit ribosomal RNA", at positions 28 to 776 of the family's 1533-position model. The record is from RNAcentral. Lineage: Bacteria; Pseudomonadati; Pseudomonadota; Gammaproteobacteria; Pasteurellales; Pasteurellaceae.
AUUGAACGCUGGCGGCAGGCUUAACACAUGCAAGUCGAACGGUAACGUAAAGAAGCUUGCUUCUUUGAUGACGAGUGGCGGACGGGUGAGUAAUGCUUGGGAAUCUAGCUUAUGGAGGGGGAUAACUACGGGAAACUGUAGCUAAUACCGCGUAGAAUCGAGAGAUGAAAGUGUGGGACCUUCGGGCCACAUGCCAUAGGAUGAGCCCAAGUGGGAUUAGGUAGUUGGUGAGGUAAAGGCUCACCAAGCCGACGAUCUCUAGCUGGUCUGAGAGGAUGACCAGCCACACUGGGACUGAGACACGGCCCAGACUCCUACGGGAGGCAGCAGUGGGGAAUAUUGCGCAAUGGGGGCAACCCUGACGCAGCCAUGCCGCGUGAAUGAAGAAGGCCUUCGGGUUGUAAAGUUCUUUCGGUAGCGAGGAAGGCAUUUAGUUUAAUAGACUAGGUGAUUGACGUUAACUACAGAAGAAGCACCGGCUAACUCCGUGCCAGCAGCCGCGGUAAUACGGAGGGUGCGAGCGUUAAUCGGAAUAACUGGGCGUAAAGGGCACGCAGGCGGUGACUUAAGUGAGGUGUGAAAGCCCCGGGCUUAACCUGGGAAUUGCAUUUCAUACUGGGUCGCUAGAGUACUUUAGGGAGGGGUAGAAUUCCACGUGUAGCGGUGAAAUGCGUAGAGAUGUGGAGGAAUACCGAAGGCGAAGGCAGCCCCUUGGGAAUGUACUGACGCUCAUGUGCGAAAGCGUGGGGAGCAAACAGG